RNAcentral lists this ribosomal RNA (468 nucleotides) under uncultured bacterium. RNAcentral's name for it is "bacterial SSU rRNA". It matches the Rfam family "Bacterial small subunit ribosomal RNA", at positions 30 to 478 of the family's 1533-position model. The record is from RNAcentral.
AGCGAACGUUUGCGGCGGGCCUAACACAUGCAAGUCGAACGAGAAUCCGCCCCAUCUUCGGGUGGGGGGGAGGAAAGUGGCGCACGGGUGCGUAACACGUGGGUAAUCAAUCCUCCUGACCGGGACAACCUCGGGAAACCGGGGCUAAUACCGGAUGAGUCAUCGAAGCCUUCGGGUUUCGCUGGGAAAGACUCGCAAGGGUCACUGGAGGACGAGCUCGCGGCCCAUCAGCUAGUUGGUGAGGUAAAGGCUCACCAAGGCGAAGACGGGUAGCUGGUCUGAGAGGAUGAUCAGCCACACUGGAACUGAGACACGGUCCAGACUCCUACGGGAGGCAGCAGUGGGGAAUAUUGCGCAAUGGGCGAAAGCCUGACGCAGCCACGCCGCGUGAGCGAUGAAGGCCCUAGGGUCGUAAAGCUCUGUGGAGGGAGAAGAAUAAAGCCAGUGAAGAGCUGGCCUUGACGGUAC